RNAcentral lists this ribosomal RNA (837 nucleotides) under Ixos mcclellandii (Mountain bulbul). Its description in RNAcentral is "partial 12S ribosomal RNA". It matches the Rfam family "Bacterial small subunit ribosomal RNA", at positions 88 to 1415 of the family's 1533-position model. The record is from RNAcentral. Lineage: Eukaryota; Metazoa; Chordata; Aves; Passeriformes; Pycnonotidae.
GCAAGUAUCCGCGAUCCAGUGAGCAUGCCCUAGGUACCCUAAUCUAGGUCGAUAGGGGCGGGCAUCAGGCACACCAAUACGUAGCCCAAGACGCCUAGCAAUUGCCACGCCCCCACGGGUAUUCAGCAGUAGUUAAUAUUAAGCCAUGAGUGCAAACUUGACUUAGUCAUAGCAAUUUAGGGGCGGUAAAUCCUGUGCCAGCCACCGCGGUCAUACAGGAGACCCAAAUUAACUUUAUAACGGCGUAAAGUGUGGUACAAUGCUAUCCAAGUAACUAAGAUUAAAAAGCAACUGAGCUGUCAUAAGCACAAGAUGCUCCAUAAGGCCGCUAUUCAAAGAAAAUCUUAGACCAACGAUUAAUUGAAAUCCACGAAAGCCAGGGCCCAAACUGGGAUUAGAUACCCCACUAUGCCUGGCCCUAAAUCUUGAUACUCGAUCUUACCGGAGUAUCCGCCCGAGAACUACGAGCGCAAACGCUUAAAACUCUAAGGACUUGGCGGUGUCCCAAACCCACCUAGAGGAGCCUGUUCUAUAAUCGAUGAUCCACGAUAUACCUUACCAUUCCUUGCCAAAUCAGCCUAUAUACCGCCGUCUCCAGCCCACCCACCAUGAAGGACCAACAGUGGACGCAAUAGCCCUACUACGCUAAUAAGACAGGUCAAGGUAUAGCCUAUGGAAUGGGAGCAAUGGGCUACAUUUUCUAGAAUAGAACAUCACGGCAAAGGGAUAUGAAACUAUCCCUGGAAGGCGGAUUUAGCAGUAAAGAGGGACAAUCGAGCCCUCUUUAAGCCGGCUCUGGGGCACGUACAUACCGCCCGUCACCCUCCUCAAAAGCGA